This 312-nucleotide ribosomal RNA is filed under the name Cochlostyla portii. RNAcentral describes it as "Helicostyla portei partial 16S ribosomal RNA". The record is from RNAcentral. Lineage: Eukaryota; Metazoa; Mollusca; Gastropoda; Stylommatophora; Camaenidae.
AUGGUAACUUCUGCUCAAUGUAAAUAGCCGCAGUACCUUGACUGUGCAAAGGUAGCAUAAUCAUUUGGCUUAUAAUUGAAGUCUAGUAUAAAUGAAAAAUGGGGAAUUCUAUAUUGUGGUUAAAUUGAAUUUACUUAAGAAGUGAAAAUUCUUCUAUAUAUAAUAGACGAGAAGACCCUUGAAAUUUUUAUUUUUGUUGGGGCAACAUAGUAUUACUAUAAGAAUAAUAUAUAUGAACAAUAAAUUACUCUAGGGAUAACAGCAUAAUUAUAUAUGCUUGUGACCUCGAUGUUGGAUUAGGAAGAUUUAAAA